CUGUGAGCUCGAUGAGUAGGGCGGGACACGUGGUAUCCUGUCUGAAUAUGGGGGGACCAUCCUCCAAGGCUAAAUACUCCUGACUGACCGAUAGUGAACCAGUACCGUGAGGGAAAGGCGAAAAGAACCCCGGCGAGGGGAGUGAAAAAGAACCUGAAACCGUGUACGUACAAGCAGUGGGAGCACGCUUAGGCGUGUGACUGCGUACCUUUUGUAUAAUGGGUCAGCGACUUAUAUUCUGUAGCAAGGUUAACCGAAUAGGGGAGCCGAAGGGAAACCGAGUCUUAACUGGGCGUUAAGUUGCAGGGUAUAGACCCGAAACCCGGUGAUCUAGCCAUGGGCAGGUUGAAGGUUGGGUAACACUAACUGGAGGACCGAACCGACUAAUGUUGAAAAAUUAGCGGAUGACUUGUGGCUGGGGGUGAAAGGCCAAUCAAACCGGGAGAUAGCUGGUUCUCCCCGAAAGCUAUUUAGGUAGCGCCUCGUGAAUUCAUCUCCGGGGGUAGAGCACUGUUUCGGCAAGGGGGUCAUCCCGACUUACCAACCCGAUGCAAACUGCGAAUACCGGAGAAUGUUAUCACGGGAGACACACGGCGGGUGCUAACGUCCGUCGUGAAGAGGGAAACAACCCAGACCGCCAGCUAAGGUCCCAAAGUCAUGGUUAAGUGGGAAACGAUGUGGGAAGGCCCAGACAGCCAGGAUGUUGGCUUAGAAGCAGCCAUCAUUUAAAGAAAGCGUAAUAGCUCACUGGUCGAGUCGGCCUGCGCGGAAGAUGUAACGGGGCUAAACCAUGCACCGAAGCUGCGGCAGCGACGCUGAUGCGUUGUUGGGUAGGGGAGCGUUCUGUAAGCCUGUGAAGGUGUGCUGUGAGGCAUGCUGGAGGUAUCAGAAGUGCGAAUGCUGACAUAAGUAACGAUAAAGCGGGUGAAAAGCCCGCUCGCCGGAAGACCAAGGGUUCCUGUCCAACGUUAAUCGGGGCAGGGUGAGUCGACCCCUAAGGCGAGGCCGAAAGGCGUAGUCGAUGGGAAACAGGUUAAUAUUCCUGUACUUGGUGUUACUGCGAAGGGGGGACGGAGAAGGCUAUGUUGGCCGGGCGACGGUUGUCCCGGUUUAAGCGUGUAGGCUGGUUUUCCAGGCAAAUCCGGAAAAUCAAGGCUGAGGCGUGAUGACGAGGCACUACGGUGCUGAAGCAACAAAUGCCCUGCUUCCAGGAAAAGCCUCUAAGCAUCAGGUAACAUCAAAUCGUACCCCAAACCGACACAGGUGGUCAGGUAGAGAAUACCAAGGCGCUUGAGAGAACUCGGGUGAAGGAACUAGGCAAAAUGGUGCCGUAACUUCGGGAGAAGGCACGCUGAUAUGUAGGUGAAGUCCCUCGCGGAUGGAGCUGAAAUCAGUCGAAGAUACCAGCUGGCUGCAACUGUUUAUUAAAAACACAGCACUGUGCAAACACGAAAGUGGACGUAUACGGUGUGACGCCUGCCCGGUGCCGGAAGGUUAAUUGAUGGGGUCAGCGCAAGCGAAGCUCUUGAUCGAAGCCCCGGUAAACGGCGGCCGUAACUAUAACGGUCCUAAGGUAGCGAAAUUCCUUGUCGGGUAAGUUCCGACCUGCACGAAUGGCGUAAUGAUGGCCAGGCUGUCUCCACCCGAGACUCAGUGAAAUUGAACUCGCUGUGAAGAUGCAGUGUACCCGCGGCAAGACGGAAAGACCCCGUGAACCUUUACUAUAGCUUGACACUGAACAUUGAGCCUUGAUGUGUAGGAUAGGUGGGAGGCUUUGAAGUGUGGACGCCAGUCUGCAUGGAGCCGGCCUUGAAAUACCACCCUUUAAUGUUUGAUGUUCUAACGUUGACCCGUAAUCCGGGUUGCGGACAGUGUCUGGUGGGUAGUUUGACUGGGGCGGUCUCCUCCUAAAGAGUAACGGAGGAGCACGAAGGUUGGCUAAUCCUGGUCGGACAUCAGGAGGUUAGUGCAAUGGCAUAAGCCAGCUUGACUGCGAGCGUGACGGCGCGAGCAGGUGCGAAAGCAGGUCAUAGUGAUCCGGUGGUUCUGAAUGGAAGGGCCAUCGCUCAACGGAUAAAAGGUACUCCGGGGAUAACAGGCUGAUACCGCCCAAGAGUUCAUAUCGACGGCGGUGUUUGGCACCUCGAUGUCGGCUCAUCACAUCCUGGGGCUGAAGUAGGUCCCAAGGGUAUGGCUGUUCGCCAUUUAAAGUGGUACGCGAGCUGGGUUUAGAACGUCGUGAGACAGUUCGGUCCCUAUCUGCCGUGGGCGCUGGAGAACUGAGGGGGGCUGCUCCUAGUACGAGAGGACCGGAGUGGACGCAUCACUGGUGUUCGGGUUGUCAUGCCAAUGGCACUGCCCGGUAGCUAAAUGCGGAAGAGAUAAGUGCUGAAAGCAUCUAAGCACGAAACUUGCCCCGAGAUGAGUUCUCCCUGACUCCUUGAGAGUCCUGAAGGAACGUUGAAGACGACGACGUUGAUAGGCCGGGUGUGUAAGCGCAGCGAUGCGUUGAGCUAACCGGUACUAAUGAACCGUGAGGCUUAACCUU
Molecule: ribosomal RNA, 2548 nt
Filed under: Escherichia coli
Lineage: Bacteria; Pseudomonadati; Pseudomonadota; Gammaproteobacteria; Enterobacterales; Enterobacteriaceae
Description: bacterial LSU rRNA
Rfam family: Bacterial large subunit ribosomal RNA
Source: RNAcentral